GACCACGGGACAGCAUUUUGAAAUACGAAAUUUUCCCGUAGAACGCGGUACAUCUGGCCACCCUGGAGAAAGGUCAUUACAAUUUUUUAUACGUAUUGAAUUAUUAUUAUUAUUUACCUAUUUCAUUUCGAAUCAUUAAAAUUAAAAUAGAACUACCUCCAAUCAAUAAAGUUAGAUAUUUGUUAAAAGUGGUAUCUGAGUAA
This is a non-coding RNA of Cinara cedri, 203 nucleotides long. Lineage: Eukaryota; Metazoa; Arthropoda; Insecta; Hemiptera; Aphididae. The record is from the annotation of a GenBank genome assembly.